AAGUCGUAACAAGGUUUCCGUAGGUGAACCUGCGGAAGGAUCAUCAAUGAAAAAUCCAGCCAAAACACUUGGGCAUUCUAGCCUGGUUGGUUGUCUUUGGGGAAACCUUUUGACAUCAAGUAGGUCUAAGUUUUUUUAGACCAGGGAAUUGACGGAAAAAAAAAUUAGACCAGAAAUUGGUCAAGGUAAACUUUCAGGUUCAAGUUUAACUCUUGACCUGAUAUUUACACUAGAAAAAAAAACAACUUUCGGCAACGGAUCUCUCGGCUCUCC
This 273-nucleotide unclassified non-coding RNA is filed under the name fungal sp. Its description in RNAcentral is "partial internal transcribed spacer region". The stretch from base 1 to 46 matches the Rfam family "Eukaryotic small subunit ribosomal RNA", at positions 1786 to 1831 of the family's 1831-position model. Lineage: Eukaryota; Fungi. The record is from RNAcentral.